GUUCUGCCAGUCAAUACACAAUGAGUGUUUUCUGCAUUUUAAUGGAUUCUUUUUAGUGUUUUCUGCAUUUUAAUGGAUUGGUUUUAUUGCAAAAGAAGUGAGGUUUUAGAAAAUGAAGAAAAUGAGAAAAGGAUAUAAAGAUCUUUUGCAGAUCCCCUCAGGCCUUCUCCAGGUUGAACAGUCCUAACUCUUCAAGCUUUCCUCAUUGACGAGAUGCUCCAUUCCCUUAAUCAUCCUUGUGGUCCUUCAUUUGACUCUGUCCAAUAUGUCUCUCUUGUACUGGGGAACACAGAAUUGGACACAGGACUCCAGGCGUUGCCUUACCAGUAGCCAAGGAUCUCCUUAUAGUCCUUCCUGCUGUGCUGACAGCAAAGACUUUAAAACUGACAUCAAAAUAUUGAAAGAAUGAGGAAGAUUAGUAUGUUCUCUGAGUAACAUUUCUCACAGUGCAGAAGGUCAAA
Molecule: long non-coding RNA, 461 nt
Organism: Pipra filicauda (Wire-tailed manakin)
Lineage: Eukaryota; Metazoa; Chordata; Aves; Passeriformes; Pipridae
Exons: 4
Source: RefSeq, a predicted model, not a curated record